UGCGUAGGCGGUUUGGUAAGUCAGAUGUGAAAUUCCUGGGCUCAACCGAGGAACUGCAUUUGAUACUGCCAGACUAGAGUACCGGAGAGGAGACUGGAAUUCACGGUGUAGCAGUGAAAUGCGUAGAUAUCGUGAGGAAGGCCAGUGGCGAAGGCGAGUCUCUGGACAGUAACUGACGCUGAGGCACGAAGGCCAGGGGAGCAAACG
This 207-nucleotide ribosomal RNA is filed under the name uncultured bacterium. RNAcentral's name for it is "partial 16S ribosomal RNA". It matches the Rfam family "Bacterial small subunit ribosomal RNA", at positions 568 to 774 of the family's 1533-position model. The record is from RNAcentral.